AGUGAACGCUGGCGGCAGGCCUAACACAUGCAAGUCGAGCGGCAGCGGGUCCUUCGGGCUGCCGGCGAGCGGCGGACGGGUGAGGAAUACAUCGGAAUCUGCCCUGUCGUGGGGGAUAACCUAGGGAAACUUAGGCUAAUACCGCAUACGACCUACGGGUGAAAGCGGGGGAUCGCAAGACCUCGCGCGACAGGAUGAGCCGAUGUCCGAUUAGCUAGUUGGCGGGGUAAAGGCCCACCAAGGCGACGAUCGGUAGCUGGUCUGAGAGGAUGAUCAGCCACACUGGGACCGAGACACGGCCCAGACUCCUACGGGAGGCAGCAGUGGGGAAUAUUGGACAAUGGGCGCAAGCCUGAUCCAGCCAUGCCGCGUGGGUGAAGAAGGCCUUCGGGUUGUAAAGCCCUUUUGUCCGGGAAGAAAUCGUCUGGGCUAAUACCCCGGGCGGAUGACGGUACCGGAAGAAUAAGCACCGGCUAACUUCGUG
RNAcentral lists this ribosomal RNA (484 nucleotides) under uncultured bacterium. RNAcentral describes it as "partial 16S ribosomal RNA". It matches the Rfam family "Bacterial small subunit ribosomal RNA", at positions 30 to 507 of the family's 1533-position model. The record is from RNAcentral.